AACGGUAAACUCAGAUGAUCAGAAUACAACGGUAAAUUCAGAUGUUCAGAAUAGCCUACGAAAUCGUGAAUUAUUUUCUAAAUGAAGUCACGGUUAAGUUAGUGAGCAUGGGAGGCAUGAGACGGGAGGUCUCCAGGCUGCAGCCAUUCCCGACUCAGUAUUUGCGUGUGGGACUGUGUUCGUCACCUGUUGCCCCUUCGUGACUGAUAUCGAUGUCUGUCUUGCACACGGUGCAGAAAUCGCUGUGGUUUCCGAACCUUUUUUUGAGGCGGUUCAGCCAUGGCAUACAAGCCUACAGUUAUCCGGCCAGCCUAGCUUGCUUGAGGCACUGAAUUGAAUUAAACGUGCAAAGCAUUUGACUAGGAGGGGCAGGUGGGCGGAGGAUUAAAAUGCAGCGCUCUGAUUGGCCGAAAGCUUUUCACUCCACUUACACGCUGUGGCUCAGCGGCAGAAUCAACGUCAUACAGACUGCAUAGAAACUGAAACCGGUGAAAUGAAAAAUGCAACAAAAUGCGUACCUAGAGAGCAGCGAAUCGUACAAGCGUACUUAAGGGUCAAAAUGCGUGCAGAGUACGAAAAAUGUGUACGUGUUGGCAGGCGUGCAACAAGAGCUAUCAGGGCAUGAGGAGGAGGCAGGAGGAAACAGCUUGGCUCUGAAACAUGUUUACAACGAGGCAGUGUGAAUGAGCUGGUGAUAUUUAAGGUUACCACUCUGAGAAAACGUUUCCCCACAUUGUUCACAGCUGUACGGCUUCUCUCCAGUGUGAACACGCUGGUGAGAUUUAAGGUUACUACUCUGAGAAAACGUUGUACCACAUUGAUCACAGCUGUAAGGCUUCUCUCCAGUGUGAAUGUGUUGAUGUCUUUUUAGGGUACUCUGUAGU
Sander lucioperca (pikeperch) is the source of this 884-nucleotide long non-coding RNA. RefSeq lists it as uncharacterized. The record is from RefSeq and is a predicted model, not a curated record. NCBI's taxonomy places the organism in Eukaryota, Metazoa, Chordata, Actinopteri, Perciformes, Percidae. The transcript is spliced from 3 exons.